RNAcentral lists this ribosomal RNA (433 nucleotides) under uncultured bacterium. RNAcentral's name for it is "partial 16S ribosomal RNA". It matches the Rfam family "Bacterial small subunit ribosomal RNA", at positions 29 to 507 of the family's 1533-position model. The record is from RNAcentral.
AGCGAACGCUGGCGGCAGGCCUAACACAUGCAAGUCGAACGGAGCCUUCGGGAUUAGUGGCGGACGGGUGAGUAACACGUGGGAACGUGCCCUUUGGUUCGGAACAACUCAGGGAAACUUGAGCUAAUACCGGAUGUGCCCUUCGGGGGAAAGAUUUAUCGCCAUUGGAGCGGCCCGCGUCUGAUUAGCUAGUUGGUGAGGUAACGGCCCACCAAGGCGACGAUCAGUAGCUGGUCUGAGAGGAUGAUCAGCCACACUGGGACUGAGACACGGCCCAGACUCCUACGGGAGGCAGCAGUGGGGAAUCUUGCGCAAUGGGCGAAAGCCUGACGCAGCCAUGCCGCGUGAAUGAUGAAGGUCUUAGGAUUGUAAAAUUCUUUCAGCGGGGACGAUAAUGACGGUACCCGCAGAAGAAGCUCCGGCUAACUUCGUG